This is an RNA transcript of Lycium ferocissimum, 1869 nucleotides long. RefSeq lists it as uncharacterized. The record is from RefSeq and is a predicted model, not a curated record. The transcript is spliced from 3 exons. NCBI's taxonomy places the organism in Eukaryota, Viridiplantae, Streptophyta, Magnoliopsida, Solanales, Solanaceae.
UUUAAUCCAACCCCCCAUUUAUUUCAAACUCAACAUCGGUCCAAUAUCAAACCACACGAACUUCAUUCAAAACAUGAACUGAUCUCAACUGCUCCUUCAAACUUUCAACUUCAAACCCACGAACUGAUCUCAACUGCUAAAUGUGCUUCUUGAAACCGUCUUCAAGCUCUUCAAAAGCCGACUCAGAAACGAACUGCUGCUCUCCAUUUCUCUCAGAUAAAAUGUCUUCACAAAAAAAAAGGGGAGGAAUCAUCUACAGUUAGUAAAAGAGCUAAGGGGGCAUCAUUAGAUGAUCUUGCUGAACAGGCAAAUAUUCUUUCUGAACAAACUGCUGAACAGGAAACCUCUCAAGUAGGAGUUUCUGGCCAAGAAAGUAAAGAAGAUCAAGUAGAUGAACAAGAUAAAGAAGAAGAACAAGAAGAAAAUAAAGUAGAAGAAGAAGAAGAAGAAGCCGAAGAAAAAGAAGAAGAAAAAGAAGAAGAUAAAGAAGAAGAAAAAGAAAGAGAAGAAGAAGAAAACAAUGAUGAAAAUGAAGAAGAAGAAGAAGAAGAAGAAGAAGAAGAAGAAGAAGAAGAAGAAGAAGAAGAAGAAGAACAUGAUGUAAAUAAUGAUGAUAAUGAAGAGGAUAAAAUUGCAUCUUUUGAAAGGUCGGCGACCGGGGCUGUUGAUUCUUUUAUUGGGACUGAUAUUGACAAACCUUCCACUGAUGAAGUUGUCCAAACUUUCAGUAUUGAGAAGUUCAGUGUGCAGAUGCCGAUGGAUAAAAUAGGUGAUUUGAAUGGUGAUCUUGUUGUAAAAUCAGUCAUGGGCAAGCCCUUUGAUUACUUUAGGAAGAUACUUCAGGAGGAGGACUUGGAGGAUUUCUUCAGGGCCACAUGUUUUGGCAUGUAUCUAGAUUUGCCUGAGGACAACAAUGUAAGGUUUCAAAGGACCAUUGUGUAUGGUCUUCUCAAACGAAGAAUUAUUUGUAGCAAAAAUGAUGAGAUAUGGAUAAACUACUGCGGCAUGCCAGUUUGUUUUGGCAUCAAGGAGUUUGCCAUAAUCACCGGACUGAGGUGUCAUGCUCCUUCUCGGCCUCUUCCUACGGUUACAUUAAAGAAGGGAGCCAUGACACCCAAGUCAUCCAAGGGAGCCAAGACACCCAAGUCAUCCAAGGCAGCCAAGAAAAGUAAGAAAGGCAAAGCCAAGGUUGAUGAUGAUUUGGAUUUAGUGGAUGUUUGUGGAAAGAGCUACAAGGCAGCGGAUUUUCUAGCAGACUUGAAGUCAGAAACUAUGUCAAGAAAGCACAAGGAGUCAUUGUGCUUAGUUUGGUUUGUGAAUUCUAUUCUUUGGGCAAGGGAUGUAAAGAAUAAUAUACAACUUGGUUUGAUUAAACUGUCGGAGGAUCAUGAGGCAUUCAAUAACUAUCCAUGGGGUCAUAAAAGUUUUAAGUUGACUGUUGAAUAUUUGUCCAAAGCUUUGAACCCUAAUGUGAAGACUUCCAACAUCUAUGGCUUCCCUUGGGCCUUCAUGGUAAACUUUCUUUCUUCAAUGUUUUAUCUUUUUAAUUCUUUUCCUUCAUUGAUUAUUCUGAUUUUUUGUGGCAUAAUUUUUUCUAGGCUUGGGCAUUUGAAGCCAUUCCUCACCUACGGAGUCAAGUCAGGGACUACUCGGAAGAAGUUUAUUUUCCAAGGAUCCUCAGAUGGUUGACUACCAAAAACAACAAUAAAAAAAUGAAUCUUGAUCCUUUUAACCCCCCCCCCCCCCGAAGGCAGCAGUAAGUUGUACAUCCAAGGCUUAUCCCGACAAAACGAGAGGUGCAGAUGCCAUGCCUUGUUAGUUUAGGGCAUAGGGAAUCUGUGCAUGAUGAAUUGAUUGAUCAGAUAAAAG